ACCUAUCAUUGACAUUUCGAAUUCGCUAGUCAUUAACUUAGAGAAUUCCUUGCAUAAAAACUCAUUAGUAGCACCAAAAAUAUAUCAUCGACAUAAAUUUGAACUAAUAGAAUGUCAUUGUUUUUAUUUUUGAUAUACAGUGUAGUGUCAACUUUCCCCCUUUCGAACUCAUUGUCCAAAAGAAAUUUGCUUAAGCGCU
This 199-nucleotide long non-coding RNA is filed under the name Nicotiana benthamiana. RNAcentral describes it as "long non-coding RNA (NBEN_LNC000367)". The record is from RNAcentral. Lineage: Eukaryota; Viridiplantae; Streptophyta; Magnoliopsida; Solanales; Solanaceae.